Molecule: small nucleolar RNA, 101 nt
Filed under: Gorilla gorilla gorilla (western lowland gorilla)
Lineage: Eukaryota; Metazoa; Chordata; Mammalia; Primates; Hominidae
Description: Small nucleolar RNA U13
Rfam family: Small nucleolar RNA U13
Source: Rfam by way of RNAcentral
AUUCUUUUGUAUCUCACAAGUGUGACUGGGUUUUUAGGCUCAUGUGUGAGAUGUGCUUCCCUCAAAAAUUGUUGUGACUGUGGCAUGUUACCUAUGUGAUG